UAAUGGAAGACUUCAUUGGGUUAGUCGACCCCGGAGAUAUAACCCUGCUCGGCGGCUAGUUUCACUUGACUUGGCUGAUGAGCAAUUCAGGGAAGUCCCGAAGCCAGACUGCGGUGGCCUGAGUAAAUGCAACUAUCAUCUUGUUGUGCUGAAAGGGUGCCUUUCUGCUGCUGUGUAUUGCAGCUACGGAAGAUUGGAGAUUUGGGUGAUGAAGGAGUAUAAUGUGAAGGAAUCUUGGGUAAAAGAAUACAGUAUUGGAGCUUAUAUGCCAAAGGGAUUGAAGCAAAAUCUUGACAGGCCUUCCAAGAUUUGGAAGAAUGCUUUGAAUGGAAUAGUUGUUAGAGUUUUAGGCCUUUUGCAGAAUGGUGAGGUUUUGUUGGAGUACAAAAGCAGAGU
RNAcentral lists this unclassified non-coding RNA (396 nucleotides) under Hevea brasiliensis (rubber tree). Lineage: Eukaryota; Viridiplantae; Streptophyta; Magnoliopsida; Malpighiales; Euphorbiaceae. The record is from RNAcentral.